CCUACGGGAUGCAGCAGUGAGGAAUAUUGGUCAAUGGACGAGAGUCUGAACCAGCCAAGUAGCGUGAAGGAUGACUGCCCUAUGGGUUGUAAACUUCUUUUAUAUGGGAAUAAAAUGUUCCACGUGUGGGAUUUUGUAUAUACCAUAUGAAUAAGGAUCGGCUAACUCCGUGCCAGCAGCCGCGGUAAUACGGGGGAUCCGAGCGUUAUCCGGAUUUAUUGGGUUUAAAGGGCGCGUAGGUGGAUUGUUAAGUCAGUUGUGAAAGUUUGCGGCUCAACCGUAAAAUUGCAGUUGAAACUGGCAGUCUGGAGUACAGUAGAGGUGGGCGGAAUUCGUGGUGUAGCGGUGAAAUGCUUAGAUAUCACGAAGAACUCCGAUUGCGAAGGCAGCUCACUGGACUGCAACUGACACUGAGGCUCGAAAGUGUGGGUAUCAAACAGGAUUAGAUACCCCGGUAGUC
Molecule: ribosomal RNA, 460 nt
Filed under: uncultured bacterium
Lineage: Bacteria
Description: partial 16S ribosomal RNA
Rfam family: Bacterial small subunit ribosomal RNA
Source: RNAcentral